GGCGGCUACUUGCGAAAACAUUGGGAACUGGAGAUCGCAGCUAAGAUGAGUCUUAAAUUUUAUAUUAUUUUAGCAAUGGUUCUGGCUACAUUUGUCAUGAAAGUCACUGCCAAACGAAUGUCUGACUACAAAUGGUGUACCGUGGCAAUAAAUGGGGUGUGUGCCUAGUUACUCUUCAUAUUGUACAGUUUAAUUUUACCAAUAAAGAGAUUUUAUUGAUGCAGCAAUCUAUUGUUAAUAGAUUUAAGGAACUAUUUCAAAUAAUUUGAGCUCCCAGCUGAGCACUGAGAUACACUACAUCAUACAAUGCAGCCGGAACUCACUUGCAUCCAUACAUAUCCAUGCAAUCCCAGGCACACCUAGAGCUAACGCUUGGAGGAAAAGCCAGGGGUCGAUGCAAUAUUAAUCAUGAAUCGUUCGGCUGUGCCAAUGAAAACAUCAAUGGAACGCCAAGACCUCAGUAGUGGUACACUGCUCCUGACCAUGUUCCGAAUCCGUACCAGUUGCAGUAGGUCCUGGUAGCACCUGAUGUCAAGAUAACCGUUUUGGUAGUGAAAAACCCAACGAAUCGGUGACCAUCUACGACACGAGUACCUUAUUGGUUGUCCUGGGUUAUGUCUGUGUUUUUUGUCUGCAGCCCAGGAGUUUGAGUAUAAAUUCUUCUAGAACUAAUGUGACAUCAAAUGUUAAUUGGCAGACU
Long non-coding RNA from Drosophila pseudoobscura, 700 nucleotides. RefSeq lists it as uncharacterized. The transcript is spliced from 2 exons. Lineage: Eukaryota; Metazoa; Arthropoda; Insecta; Diptera; Drosophilidae. The record is from RefSeq and is a predicted model, not a curated record.